AUGAACGCUGGCGGCGUGCCUAAUACAUGCAAGUCGAGCGAACAGAUGAGGAGCUUGCUCCUCUGACGUUAGCGGCGGACGGGUGAGUAACACGUGGAUAACCUACCUAUAAGACUGGGAUAACUUCGGGAAACCGGAGCUAAUACCGGAUAAUAUAUUGAACCGCAUGGUUCAAUAGUGAAAGACGGUUUUGCUGUCACUUAUAGAUGGAUCCGCGCCGCAUUAGCUAGUUGGUAAGGUAACGGCUUACCAAGGCAACGAUGCGUAGCCGACCUGAGAGGGUGAUCGGCCACACUGGAACUGAGACACGGUCCAGACUCCUACGGGAGGCAGCAGUAGGGAAUCUUCCGCAAUGGGCGAGAGCCUGACGGAGCAACGCCGCGUGAGUGAUGAAGGUCUUCGGAUCGUAAAACUCUGUUAUUAGGGAAGAACAAAUGUGUAAGUAACUAUGCACGUCUUGACGGUACCUAAUCAGAAAGCCACGGCUAACUACGUG
Molecule: ribosomal RNA, 496 nt
Filed under: uncultured bacterium
Lineage: Bacteria
Description: partial 16S ribosomal RNA
Rfam family: Bacterial small subunit ribosomal RNA
Source: RNAcentral